This 492-nucleotide ribosomal RNA is filed under the name uncultured bacterium. RNAcentral's name for it is "bacterial SSU rRNA". It matches the Rfam family "Bacterial small subunit ribosomal RNA", at positions 30 to 521 of the family's 1533-position model. The record is from RNAcentral.
AUUGAACGCUGGCGGAAUGCUUUACACAUGCAAGUCGAACGGCAGCACGGGGCAACCUGGUGGCGAGUGGCGAACGGGUGAGUAAUACAUCGGAACGUGCCCAAUCGUGGGGGAUAACGUAGCGAAAGUUACGCUAAUACCGCAUACGAUCUACGGAUGAAAGCGGGGGAUCGCAAGACCUCGCGCGAGUGGAGCGGCCGAUGUCAGAUUAGGUAGUUGGUGGGGUAAAGGCUCACCAAGCCAACGAUCUGUAGCUGGCCUGAGAGGACGACCAGCCACACUGGAACUGAGACACGGUCCAGACUCCUACGGGAGGCAGCAGUGGGGAAUUUUGGACAAUGGGCGCAAGCCUGAUCCAGCCAUUCCGCGUGCAGGAUGAAGGCCUUCGGUUGUAACUGCUUUGUACGGAACGAAACGGCGAGCUCUAAUACAGUUGCUAAUGACGGUACCGUAAGAAUAAGCACCGGCUAACUACGUGCCAGCAGCCGCGGU